This 24-nucleotide non-coding RNA is filed under the name Arabidopsis thaliana (thale cress). Lineage: Eukaryota; Viridiplantae; Streptophyta; Magnoliopsida; Brassicales; Brassicaceae. The record is from RNAcentral.
UAUGUCACUACAAGAAAACAGGCG